CAGUGUCUGGUGGGUAGUUUGACUGGGGCGGUCUCCUCCUAAAGAGUAACGGAGGAGCACGAAGGUUGGCUAAUCCUGGUCGGACAUCAGGAGGUUAGUGCAAUGGCAUAAGCCAGCUUGACUGCGAGCGUGACGGCGCGAGCAGGUGCGAAAGCAGGUCAUAGUGAUCCGGUGGUUCUGAAUGGAAGGGCCAUCGCUCAACGGAUAAAAGGUACUCCGGGGAUAACAGGCUGAUACCGCCCAAGAGUUCAUAUCGACGGCGGUGUUUGGCACCUCGAUGUCGGCUCAUCACAUCCUGGGGCUGAAGUAGGUCCCAAGGGUAUGGCUGUUCGCCAUUUAAAGUGGUACGCGAGCUGGGUUUAGAACGUCGUGAGACAGUUCGGUCCCUAUCUGCCGUGGGCGCUGGAGAACUGAGGGGGGCUGCUCCUAGUACGAGAGGACCGGAGUGGACGCAUCACUGGUGUUCGGGUUGUCAUGCCAAUGGCACUGCCCGGUAGCUAAAUGCGGAAGAGAUAAGUGCUGAAAGCAUCUAAGCACGAAACUUGCCCCGAGAUGAGUUCUCCCUGAGACUUAAAGUCUCCUGAAGGAACGUUGAAGACGACGACGUUGAUAGGCCGGGUGUGUAAGCGCAGCGAUGCGUUGAGCUAACCGGUACUAAUGAACCGUGAGGCUUAACCUUACAACGCCGAAG
Molecule: ribosomal RNA, 691 nt
Filed under: Salmonella enterica subsp. enterica serovar Derby
Lineage: Bacteria; Pseudomonadati; Pseudomonadota; Gammaproteobacteria; Enterobacterales; Enterobacteriaceae
Description: partial 23S ribosomal RNA
Rfam family: Bacterial large subunit ribosomal RNA
Source: RNAcentral